UUAAGCGACUAAGCGUACACGGUGGAUGCCCUGGCAGUCAGAGGCGAUGAAGGACGUGCUAAUCUGCGAUAAGCGUCGGUGAGGUGAUAUGAACCGUUAUAACCGGCGAUUUCCGAAUGGGGAAACCCAGUGUGUUUCGACACACUAUCAUUAACUGAAUCCAUAGGUUAAUGAGGCGAACCGGGGGAACUGAAACAUCUAAGUACCCCGAGGAAAAGAAAUCAACCGAGAUUCCCCCAGUAGCGGCGAGCGAACGGGGAGGAGCCCAGAGCCUGAAUCAGUGUGUGUGUUAGUGGAAGCGUCUGGAAAGGCGCGCGAUACAGGGUGACAGCCCCGUACACAAAAAUGCACAUGCUGUGAGCUCGAUGAGUAGGGCGGGACACGUGGUAUCCUGUCUGAAUAUGGGGGGACCAUCCUCCAAGGCUAAAUACUCCUGACUGACCGAUAGUGAACCAGUACCGUGAGGGAAAGGCGAAAAGAACCCCGGCGAGGGGAGUGAAAAAGAACCUGAAACCGUGUACGUACAAGCAGUGGGAGCCUCUUAAUGGGGUGACUGCGUACCUUUUGUAUAAUGGGUCAGCGACUUAUAUUCUGUAGCAAGGUUAACCGAAUAGGGGAGCCGAAGGGAAACCGAGUCUUAACUGGGCGUUAAGUUGCAGGGUAUAGACCCGAAACCCGGUGAUCUAGCCAUGGGCAGGUUGAAGGUUGGGUAACACUAACUGGAGGACCGAACCGACUAAUGUUGAAAAAUUAGCGGAUGACUUGUGGCUGGGGGUGAAAGGCCAAUCAAACCGGGAGAUAGCUGGUUCUCCCCGAAAGCUAUUUAGGUAGCGCCUCGUGAAUUCAUCUCCGGGGGUAGAGCACUGUUUCGGCAAGGGGGUCAUCCCGACUUACCAACCCGAUGCAAACUGCGAAUACCGGAGAAUGUUAUCACGGGAGACACACGGCGGGUGCUAACGUCCGUCGUGAAGAGGGAAACAACCCAGACCGCCAGCUAAGGUCCCAAAGUCAUGGUUAAGUGGGAAACGAUGUGGGAAGGCCCAGACAGCCAGGAUGUUGGCUUAGAAGCAGCCAUCAUUUAAAGAAAGCGUAAUAGCUCACUGGUCGAGUCGGCCUGCGCGGAAGAUGUAACGGGGCUAAACCAUGCACCGAAGCUGCGGCAGCGACACUAUGUGUUGUUGGGUAGGGGAGCGUUCUGUAAGCCUGUGAAGGUGGCCUGUGAGGGUUGCUGGAGGUAUCAGAAGUGCGAAUGCUGACAUAAGUAACGAUAAAGCGGGUGAAAAGCCCGCUCGCCGGAAGACCAAGGGUUCCUGUCCAACGUUAAUCGGGGCAGGGUGAGUCGACCCCUAAGGCGAGGCCGAAAGGCGUAGUCGAUGGGAAACAGGUUAAUAUUCCUGUACUUGGUGUUACUGCGAAGGGGGGACGGAGAAGGCUAUGUUGGCCGGGCGACGGUUGUCCCGGUUUAAGCGUGUAGGCUGGUUUUCCAGGCAAAUCCGGAAAACCAAGGCUGAGGCGUGAUGACGAGGCACUACGGUGCUGAAGUGACAAAUGCCCUGCUUCCAGGAAAAGCCUCUAAGCAUCAGGUAACAUCAAAUCGUACCCCAAACCGACACAGGUGGUCAGGUAGAGAAUACCAAGGCGCUUGAGAGAACUCGGGUGAAGGAACUAGGCAAAAUGGUGCCGUAACUUCGGGAGAAGGCACGCUGAUAUGUAGGUGAAGCGACUUGCUCGUGGAGCUGAAAUCAGUCGAAGAUACCAGCUGGCUGCAACUGUUUAUUAAAAACACAGCACUGUGCAAACACGAAAGUGGACGUAUACGGUGUGACGCCUGCCCGGUGCCGGAAGGUUAAUUGAUGGGGUUAGCGGUAACGCGAAGCUCUUGAUCGAAGCCCCGGUAAACGGCGGCCGUAACUAUAACGGUCCUAAGGUAGCGAAAUUCCUUGUCGGGUAAGUUCCGACCCGCACGAAAGGCGUAACGAUUUGGGCACUGUCUCAACGAGAGACUCGGUGAAAUCAUAGUACCUGUGAAGAUGCAGGUUACCCGCGACAGGACGGAAAGACCCCGUGGAGCUUUACUGUAGCCUGAUAUUGAAAUUCGGCACAGCUUGUACAGGAUAGGUAGGAGCCUUUGAAACGUGAGCGCUAGCUUACGUGGAGGCGUUGGUGGGAUACUACCCUAGCUGUGUUGGCUUUCUAACCCGCACCACUUAUCGUGGUGGGAGACAGUGUCAGGCGGGCAGUUUGACUGGGGCGGUCGCCUCCUAAAAGGUAACGGAGGCGCUCAAAGGUUCCCUCAGAAUGGUUGGAAAUCAUUCAUAGAGUGUAAAGGCAUAAGGGAGCUUGACUGCGAGACCUACAAGUCGAGCAGGGUCGAAAGACGGACUUAGUGAUCCGGUGGUUCCGCAUGGAAGGGCCAUCGCUCAACGGAUAAAAGGUACCCCGGGGAUAACAGGCUUAUCUCCCCCAAGAGUUCACAUCGACGG
This 2483-nucleotide ribosomal RNA is filed under the name metagenome. Its description in RNAcentral is "bacterial LSU rRNA". It matches the Rfam family "Bacterial large subunit ribosomal RNA", at positions 1 to 2511 of the family's 2925-position model. The record is from RNAcentral.